RNAcentral lists this ribosomal RNA (2323 nucleotides) under Salmonella enterica subsp. enterica serovar Kirkee. RNAcentral describes it as "partial 23S ribosomal RNA". It matches the Rfam family "Bacterial large subunit ribosomal RNA", at positions 711 to 2925 of the family's 2925-position model. The record is from RNAcentral. Lineage: Bacteria; Pseudomonadati; Pseudomonadota; Gammaproteobacteria; Enterobacterales; Enterobacteriaceae.
AGACCCGAAACCCGGUGAUCUAGCCAUGGGCAGGUUGAAGGUUGGGUAACACUAACUGGAGGACCGAACCGACUAAUGUUGAAAAAUUAGCGGAUGACCUGUGGCUGGGGGUGAAAGGCCAAUCAAACCGGGAGAUAGCUGGUUCUCCCCGAAAGCUAUUUAGGUAGCGCCUCGUGAAUUCAUCUCCGGGGGUAGAGCACUGUUUCGGCUAGGGGGCCAUCCCGGCUUACCAACCCGAUGCAAACUGCGAAUACCGGAGAAUGUUAUCACGGGAGACACACGGCGGGUGCUAACGUCCGUCGUGAAGAGGGAAACAACCCAGACCGCCAGCUAAGGUCCCAAAGUCAUGGUUAAGUGGGAAACGAUGUGGGAAGGCCCAGACAGCCAGGAUGUUGGCUUAGAAGCAGCCAUCAUUUAAAGAAAGCGUAAUAGCUCACUGGUCGAGUCGGCCUGCGCGGAAGAUGUAACGGGGCUAAACCAUGCACCGAAGCUGCGGCAGCGAACGUAUCACUUAAAGCGAUUCAGCGGGUUACGAUUGACGGAGCGAAGCGACGUCAAAGCGUAUACAAAGUCGAGUCGGUUUAAGGAUACGUUCGUUGGGUAGGGGAGCGUUCUGUAAGCCUGUGAAGGUGGCCUGUGAGGGUUGCUGGAGGUAUCAGAAGUGCGAAUGCUGACAUAAGUAACGAUAAAGCGGGUGAAAAGCCCGCUCGCCGGAAGACCAAGGGUUCCUGUCCAACGUUAAUCGGGGCAGGGUGAGUCGACCCCUAAGGCGAGGCCGAAAGGCGUAGUCGAUGGGAAACGGGUUAAUAUUCCCGUACUUGGUGUUACUGCGAAGGGGGGACGGAGAAGGCUAUGUUGGCCGGGCGACGGUUGUCCCGGUUUAAGCGUGUAGGUGUGUGUUCCAGGUAAAUCCGGUUCACUUUAACACUGAGGCGUGAUGACGAGGCACUACGGUGCUGAAGCAACAAAUGCCCUGCUUCCAGGAAAAGCCUCUAAGCAUCAGGUAACAUCAAAUCGUACCCCAAACCGACACAGGUGGUCAGGUAGAGAAUACCAAGGCGCUUGAGAGAACUCGGGUGAAGGAACUAGGCAAAAUGGUGCCGUAACUUCGGGAGAAGGCACGCUGACACGUAGGUGAAGUGAUUUACUCACGGAGCUGAAGUCAGUCGAAGAUACCAGCUGGCUGCAACUGUUUAUUAAAAACACAGCACUGUGCAAACACGAAAGUGGACGUAUACGGUGUGACGCCUGCCCGGUGCCGGAAGGUUAAUUGAUGGGGUCAGCGCAAGCGAAGCUCCUGAUCGAAGCCCCGGUAAACGGCGGCCGUAACUAUAACGGUCCUAAGGUAGCGAAAUUCCUUGUCGGGUAAGUUCCGACCUGCACGAAUGGCGUAAUGAUGGCCAGGCUGUCUCCACCCGAGACUCAGUGAAAUUGAACUCGCUGUGAAGAUGCAGUGUACCCGCGGCAAGACGGAAAGACCCCGUGAACCUUUACUAUAGCUUGACACUGAACAUUGAGCCUUGAUGUGUAGGAUAGGUGGGAGGCUUUGAAGCGUGGACGCCAGUCUGCGUGGAGCCGACCUUGAAAUACCACCCUUUAAUGUUUGAUGUUCUAACGUGGACCCGUAAUCCGGGUUGCGGACAGUGUCUGGUGGGUAGUUUGACUGGGGCGGUCUCCUCCUAAAGAGUAACGGAGGAGCACGAAGGUUGGCUAAUCCUGGUCGGACAUCAGGAGGUUAGUGCAAUGGCAUAAGCCAGCUUGACUGCGAGCGUGACGGCGCGAGCAGGUGCGAAAGCAGGUCAUAGUGAUCCGGUGGUUCUGAAUGGAAGGGCCAUCGCUCAACGGAUAAAAGGUACUCCGGGGAUAACAGGCUGAUACCGCCCAAGAGUUCAUAUCGACGGCGGUGUUUGGCACCUCGAUGUCGGCUCAUCACAUCCUGGGGCUGAAGUAGGUCCCAAGGGUAUGGCUGUUCGCCAUUUAAAGUGGUACGCGAGCUGGGUUUAGAACGUCGUGAGACAGUUCGGUCCCUAUCUGCCGUGGGCGCUGGAGAACUGAGGGGGGCUGCUCCUAGUACGAGAGGACCGGAGUGGACGCAUCACUGGUGUUCGGGUUGUCAUGCCAAUGGCACUGCCCGGUAGCUAAAUGCGGAAGAGAUAAGUGCUGAAAGCAUCUAAGCACGAAACUUGCCCCGAGAUGAGUUCUCCCUGAGACUUAGAGUCUCCUGAAGGAACGUUGAAGACGACGACGUUGAUAGGCCGGGUGUGUAAGCGCAGCGAUGCGUUGAGCUAACCGGUACUAAUGAACCGUGAGGCUUAACCUUACA